CCUCUCCCUGCCGACACCUCCUUAUCCUCUCAACAUCAUAACUGUCUUGCAGGCACAGGUGUGUUUAUCGGCCAACCUGACCCUCACAAAAAGCUACCACUGAAGUGGACAGGCCCCUACACUGUGAUACUCAGCAUACCAACUGCAGUGAGAGUCCAAGGACUCCCCAACUGGAUCCAUCGCACCAGGGUCAAGCUCACCCCCAAGGCGGCUUCUUCCUCCAAAACAUUAACAGCUAAGUGUUCAUCUGGGCCAAUUUCUCCUACCCAGUUUAAAUUAACCAAUAUUUUUUUCUUGAAACCGAAACACAAGGAAGACUAACCACCUGCUUCCAGGAAUGGCCUGUAUCUACCCAACCACUUGCUAUACCUUUCUUCCAACCAAAAGUCUUAAUACAGGAAUAUCUCUCACCACGAUCCUAAUACUGUCAGUAGCUGUCCUGCUGUCCACAGCAGCCCCUCCGAGCUGCCAUGAGUGUUAUCAGUCUUUGCACUACAGAGGGAAGAUGCAACAAUACUUUACUUACUAUACUCAUAUAGAAAGAUCCUGUUAUGGAACCUUAAUCGAGGAAUGUGUUGAAUCAGGAAAGAGUUAUUAUAAAGUAAAGAAUCUAGGAGUAUGUGGCAGUCGUAAUGGGGCUAUUUGCCCCAGAGGGAAGCAGUGGCUUUGCUUUACCAAAAUUGGACAAUGGGGAGUAAACAGUCAGGUGCUUGAGGACAUAAAAAGAGAACAGAUGAUAGCCAAAGCCUCAAAACCAACAACUCCCCCUGAAAAUCACCCACGGCAUUUCCAUUCGUUUAUACAAAAACUAUAAGCAGAUGCAUCCCUUCCCAAGCCAGGAAAAAACCUGUUUGUAGAUCUAGGAGAAGCAUUGUGCUUACCAUGAAUGUGUCCAAUUGCUGGGUAUGCGGGGGAGCUUUAUGAGUGAACAGUGGCCGUGGGACAGGAUAGACAUUCCCCCUUACUUACUGGCAUCCCAAAACCCCAGCCUCACUUUCACUCCUCAGGAACACCCACAGUCCUGGACACUUACCAACCCAGUACGAGGGAUGGCGUGCAUAUCCCGCAAGUGGACUGAUAAAACCCAUCGUGCUGUAGGUGAAAACCCCUGUCACCAAACCCUAACAGUCAAUGCCUCCAUAGCUGAGUGGUGGCCAAGGUUACCCCCUGGAGCCUGGUCUCCUUCUAACUUAAGCUACCUCAAUUGUGCCUUGUCAAAAAAGGCCUGGUACGGUACAAACACCACUAACCCUUCUGCCGCAUACCCCCGCCUAAGUGCACUAUGUGACAAUCCUAGGAACACCAGCCGACGACGGACUGCCCCGAUGGAUUCCUCUGGAUAUGGGGAACCCAGACUUACUCACGGCUACCUUAUCACUGGCAAGGUACUUACUUCCUAGGCACAAUUAAACCUGGAUUCUUUUUACUUCCAAAGCAGGCGGGCAACACCCUCAGAGUCCCUGUGUAUAACCUAGCCAGAGAAAAAUGAUCCUUGGAGGUAGGAGGGAGCCAAAGAUUGUGAGAGGACGAGUGGCCUCCGCAACGGAUCAUUGAAUAUUACGGUCCCGCCACUUGGGCAGAGGAUGGUUCACGGGGGUUAUUGCACUCCCAUAUAUAUGCCAAAUAGAGCGAUUAGACUACAAGCUGUUCUAGAGAUAAUCACUAACCAAACUGCCUCAGCCCUAGAAAUGCUCACGCAACAACAAAACCAAAUGCGCGCGGCAAUUUCUCAAAACAGGCUGGCACUGGACUACUUAUUAGCAGAAGAAGGUGCGGUCUGUGGUAAGUUUAAUAUCUCCAAUUGCUGUCUGUUUAACACACGCAAUAAUGGAAAAGUGGUUCUAGAAAUCGCUUCAAACAUCAGAAAAGUAGCCCGUGUAUCAGUCCAAACCUGGAAGGGAUGGGACCCAACAAACCUUCUAGGAGGGUGUUUCUCUAAUUUGGGAGGAUUUAAAAUGCUCGUGGGGACAGUCAUCUUCAUUACUGGGGUCCUCCUGUUUCUCCCCUGUGUUGUCCCAUUAAAACUCUUGUUGAAACUACAGUUAACCGCCAGACAAUCCAGACGAUGCUCCUGCUACAGCGGCACGAUGGAUAC
RNAcentral lists this long non-coding RNA (2095 nucleotides) under Pongo abelii (Sumatran orangutan). RNAcentral's name for it is "lincRNA". Lineage: Eukaryota; Metazoa; Chordata; Mammalia; Primates; Hominidae. The record is from RNAcentral.